This 654-nucleotide ribosomal RNA is filed under the name uncultured Alphaproteobacteria bacterium. RNAcentral's name for it is "bacterial SSU rRNA". It matches the Rfam family "Bacterial small subunit ribosomal RNA", at positions 68 to 764 of the family's 1533-position model. The record is from RNAcentral. Lineage: Bacteria; Pseudomonadati; Pseudomonadota; Alphaproteobacteria.
GGGGGCUUUCGGGCUUCAGUGGCGGACGGGUGAGUAACGCGUAGGAACGUGUCCUGGGAUGGGGGAUAACGCUGGGAAACUGGCGCUAAUACCGCAUAUCUCCUGAGGGAGAAAGCCGCGAGGCGUCUUGGGAGCGGCCUGCGUCCGAUUAGCUUGUUGGUUAGGUAAUGGCUGACCAAGGCGAUGAUCGGUAGCUGGUCUGAGAGGAUGAUCAGCCACACUGGGACUGAGACACGGCCCAGACUCCUACGGGAGGCAGCAGUGGGGAAUAUUGGACAAUGGGCGCAAGCCUGAUCCAGCAAUUCCGCGUGGGUGAAGAAGGUCUUCGGAUUGUAAAGCCCUUUCGGCGGGGACGAUGAUGACGGUACCCGCAGAAGAAGCCCCGGCUAACUUCGUGCCAGCAGCCGCGGUAAUACGAAGGGGGCUAGCGUUGCUCGGAAUGACUGGGCGUAAAGGGCGCGUAGGCGGCACGGACAGUCAGGCGUGAAAUUCCUGGGCUUAACCUGGGGGCUGCGUUUGAUACGUUCGAGCUAGAGGAUGGAAGAGGCUCGUGGAAUUCCCAGUGUAGAGGUGAAAUUCGUAGAUAUUGGGAAGAACACCGGUGGCGAAGGCGGCGAGCUGGUCCAUUACUGACGCUGAGGCGCGAAAGCGUGG